CAGCCGCCGCGGUAACCCCAGCGCCACAAGUGGGAACCACGCUUAUUGGGUCUAAAGCAUCCGUAGCCGGUUCUGCAAAUGCCCUGUGAAAUCGUUGCGCUUAACGUAACGGCGUGCAGGGUAGACUACCGAACUUGGGACCAGGGGAAGUAGACGGUAUUCCUGAGGGAGCGGUAAAAUGUGAUAAUCUCAGGAGGACCACCGAUGGCGAAGGCAGUCUUCUAAUAUGGAUCUGACGGUGAGGGAUGAAAGCUAGGGGAGCGAUCCGGAUUAGAUACCCGAGUAGUCCUAGCCGUAAACGCUGCAUGCCAGAUGUUACACAAUCUUCGAGAUUGUGUAGUGUCGAAACGAAGGUGUUAAGCAUGCCACCUGGGAAGUACGGUCGCAAGGCUGAAACUUAAAGGAAUUGGCGGGGAGCACA
This 421-nucleotide ribosomal RNA is filed under the name uncultured archaeon. RNAcentral's name for it is "bacterial SSU rRNA". It matches the Rfam family "Archaeal small subunit ribosomal RNA", at positions 459 to 880 of the family's 1478-position model. The record is from RNAcentral.